This 509-nucleotide ribosomal RNA is filed under the name uncultured Planctomycetota bacterium. RNAcentral describes it as "bacterial SSU rRNA". It matches the Rfam family "Bacterial small subunit ribosomal RNA", at positions 378 to 896 of the family's 1533-position model. The record is from RNAcentral. Lineage: Bacteria; Pseudomonadati; Planctomycetota.
CAAGCCUGAACGAGCGACGCCGCGUGCGCGAUGAAGGCCUUCGGGUUGUAAAGCGCGAAAGUGGAAGAGAAAAAGCGAAAGUUUGAAUCAAUCCACAGUAAGGACGGGCUAAGUUCGUGCCAGCAGCCGCGGUAAGACGAACUGUCCUAACGUUGUUCGGAAUCACUGGGCUUAAAGGGGCGCGUAGGCGGUCGAAUAAGUCGGGGGUGAAAUCCUGCAGCUCAACUGUAGAAGUGCCUUCGAUACUGUUCGUCUGGAGGGAGAUAGGGGUGUGCGGAACUUCCAGUGGAGCGGUGAAAUGCGUUGAUAUUGGAAGGAACGCCGGAGGCGAAAGCGGCGCACUGGAUCUCUUCUGACGCUGAGGCGCGAAAGCUAGGGGAGCAAACGGGAUUAGAUACCCCGGUAGUCCUAGCCCUAAACGAUGAGUACUAGAUUGUAGACUGAUCAUGGGUUUACAGUCGAAGCAAAAGUUUUAAGUACUCCGCCUGGGGAGUAUGGCCGCAAGGCUG